RNAcentral lists this ribosomal RNA (1450 nucleotides) under uncultured organism. RNAcentral describes it as "16S ribosomal RNA". It matches the Rfam family "Bacterial small subunit ribosomal RNA". The record is from RNAcentral.
GAUGAACGCUAGCUACAGGCUUAACACAUGCAAGUCGAGGGGCAGCAUUUCGCUAGCAAUAGUGAAGAUGGCGACCGGCGCACGGGUGAGUAACACGUAUCCAACCUGCCGAUAACUCGGGGAUAGCCUUUCGAAAGAAAGAUUAAUAUCCGAUGGUAUAUUAAGAUCGCAUGGUUUUACUAUUAAAGAAUUUCGGUUAUCGAUGGGGAUGCGUUCCAUUAGUUUGUUGGCGGGGUAACGGCCCACCAAGACUACGAUGGAUAGGGGUUCUGAGAGGAAGGUCCCCCACAUUGGAACUGAGACACGGUCCAAACUCCUACGGGAGGCAGCAGUGAGGAAUGUUGGUCAAUGGGCGAGAGCCUGAACCAGCCAAGUAGCGUGAGGGAUGAAGGCUCUAUGGGUCGUAAACCCCUUUUAUAUGGGAAUAAAGUUUUCCACGUGUGGAAUUUUGUAUGUACCAUAUGAAUAAGGAUCGGCUAACUCCGUGCCAGCAGCCGCGGUAAUACGGAGGAUCCGAGCGUUAUCCGGAUUUAUUGGGUUUAAAGGGAGCGUAGGUGGAUUGUUAAGUCAGUUGUGAAAGUUUUGCGGCUCCACCGUAAAAUUGCAGUUGAAACUGGCAGUCUUGAGUACAGUAGAGGUGGGCGGAAUUCGUGGUGUAGCGGUGAAAUGCUUAGAUAUCACGAAGAACUCCGAUUGCGAAGGCAGCUCACUAGACUGCAACUGACACUGAGGCUCGAAAGUGUGGGUAUCAAACAGGAUUAGAUACCCUGGUAGUCCACACAGUAAACGAUGAAUACUCGCUGUUUGCGAUAUACAGCAAGCGGCCAAGCGAAAGCAUUAAGUAUUCCACCUGGGGAGUACGCCGGCAACGGUGAAACUCAAAGGAAUUGACGGGGGCCCGCACAAGCGGAGGAACAUGUGGUUUAAUUCGAUGAUACGCGAGGAACCUUACCCGGGCUUAAAUUGCAACAGAAUAUAUUGGAAACAGUAUAGCCGUAAGGCUGUUGUGAAGGUGCUGCAUGGUUGUCGUCAGCUCGUGCCGUGAGGUGUCGGCUUAAGUGCCAUAACGAGCGCAACCCUUAUCUUUAGUUACUAACAGGUGAUGCUGAGGACUCUAGAGAGACUGCCGUCGUAAGAUGUGAGGAAGGUGGGGAUGACGUCAAAUCAGCACGGCCCUUACGUCCGGGGCUACACACGUGUUACAAUGGGGGGUACAGAAGGCAGCUACCUGGCGACAGGAUGCUAAUCCCAAAAACCUCUCUCAGUUCGGAUCGAAGUCUGCAACCCGACUUCGUGAAGCUGGAUUCGCUAGUAAUCGCGCAUCAGCCAUGGCGCGGUGAAUACGUUCCCGGGCCUUGUACACACCGCCCGUCAAGCCAUGAAAGCCGGGGGUACCUGAAGUACGUAACCGCAAGGAGCGUCCUAGGGUAAAACUAAUAAUUGGGGCUAA